This is a long non-coding RNA of Lathyrus oleraceus (garden pea), 1027 nucleotides long. RefSeq lists it as uncharacterized. NCBI's taxonomy places the organism in Eukaryota, Viridiplantae, Streptophyta, Magnoliopsida, Fabales, Fabaceae. The record is from RefSeq and is a predicted model, not a curated record. The transcript is spliced from 2 exons.
AAUUCUAAGUCUUGCACCCGGGUUCAAACAUAUGCACCCCAAGAACCUGCUAAAGAAAUUAGUGUGUCCUCAAACCCAAUGCACCGUCGCCAAUCACUGCGGCAUCAUCUAGAAAAUUUUCAAACGUUCAAUUCAAAAUACCCCCUUUUGAAACUCAAGUUAACAAUCGAUGGCAAGAACGAGACACCGUGAAUCAACAUCGACAUCGUAACCAAUGGAGGCUCUUUCUCGCGCGUAAAUCAAAGAAGUAGGAGGGGGAGAUAUUUACCAAUUGAUUCCGGUGCGGUGGCUAUGGCGAUGUGUUUGUUGAUCCUCUUAUUCGUUUGUGUCGUGCGCUUCUGUUCGUGUCGCAGGACCGUUGUUGUAGUUCGUCAUGGAGUAUUGGUGAUUGACAAUGGAUACGUUCGAUUUACUCUUCGAUCCGUUCUCGGUUCGUGAUGGAGAGAUUAUGCUCGUGGUUAAUUCUUCCGUCGGUGUUGCUGUGGUGCGUGGACGACCGUCGUCACGCUGAGCUGAAGGAGGAAGAACGGAGCUUCUUCGACUUGCAUUCACGUCCGAGAUGAAAGCUCGAGGAAAUUGGUUUUUUUGUGAGUUUCUGUUUUGGGAAUUUCUUGGAGGAGCUUACAGAGAUUUUUCCGGAAAUUGUGAUUGAUUCCCGUUAGAAGCAGCUUUGGAAUCUUGCUUGGACAUUGUUGGGAUUCAAUGUCUUGACUUGGAUUAUUAUGGGCUUAUUGGAUUAUGCUCAUGUUGGAUAUUUCUUGGAAUGCUUUUGAAGUUUGUGGACCUAGCUAUCAUGGAUCAUGUUGUAUAAUUGUAGGGUUUAUUGUAUUUUUUGAUUGAAAACCUUGUAUAUGGAUGUAAUUGGAUGGGUGAUUGUAUGUUGUAAUUUUGGAUAUUUUGUAAUGAUUUAUGUUAUGCAUUUGAAAUUAUUGUAAUGUUUAUGGUUGUAAUGAAAUGUAAUUUAGAAAUUCAAAUUGUAAUAGAAUUGAUGUAUCAUGAUUGAAAAUGAAAGGUAUUGAAAUGGUUA